UACAGAGGGUGCGAGCGUUGUCCGGAAUCACUGGGCGUAAAGGGCGCGUAGGCGGCUUGAUAAGCGUGCGGUGAAAGCCCGGGGCUCAACCCCGGGUCGGCCGUGCGAACUGUCGAGCUGGAGCACUGUAGAGGCAGGUGGAAUUCCGGGUGUAGCGGUGGAAUGCGUAGAGAUCCGGAAGAACACCGGUGGCGAAGGCGGCCUGCUGGGCAGUGGCUGACGCUGAGGCGCGACAGCGUGGGGAGGCAAACAGG
This 254-nucleotide ribosomal RNA is filed under the name uncultured bacterium. RNAcentral's name for it is "partial 16S ribosomal RNA". It matches the Rfam family "Bacterial small subunit ribosomal RNA", at positions 524 to 776 of the family's 1533-position model. The record is from RNAcentral.